Molecule: ribosomal RNA, 253 nt
Filed under: uncultured bacterium
Lineage: Bacteria
Description: partial 16S ribosomal RNA
Rfam family: Bacterial small subunit ribosomal RNA
Source: RNAcentral
UACGAAGGUGGCAAGCGUUGUUCGGAUUUACUGGGCGUACAGGGAGCGUAGGCGGUUGGAUAAGUGUGGUGUGAAAUCUCCCGGCUUAACUGGGAGGGUGCGCUACAAACUGUCUGACUAGAGUGUGGGAUGGGAAAGUGGAAUUCCUGGUGUAGCGGUGAAAUGCGUAGAUAUUGGGAGGAACACCAGUGGCGAAGGCGGCUCACUGGACCGGUUCUGACGCUGAGGCGCGAAAGCGUGGGGAGCAAACGGG